Long non-coding RNA from Xyrauchen texanus (razorback sucker), 2407 nucleotides. RefSeq lists it as uncharacterized. NCBI's taxonomy places the organism in Eukaryota, Metazoa, Chordata, Actinopteri, Cypriniformes, Catostomidae. The record is from RefSeq and is a predicted model, not a curated record. The transcript is spliced from 4 exons.
GUCCGCCUGGGCGUGUGUCAGUCCAGCCCUGUCAACAAAACAAGAUCAUUUCGGUACAUGAAUUUACUUUACUGAAAUGGAUUUUAAGAAUUAUUUUUAAAAGGUGGAAAGAGGACAACCACAUACAAAGGAGCAGGAGCAAUUUCAUGAAAAAAGAUCAGUGGGGGACUGAAAGAAAGAAAGAAGAAAAAAGACAAAUCUGAAAUUCUGAAGGCACUUGGACAAGGUCUGAUCGAGAAGACUGGCCAUGGAGAUGGAUUACAAAGAUCCGCCACCAAACUAUGAUGACGUUGUUACCCAGCAGCACACAAGCAACACUCAGCAGAGCCACUCUGCUGAUAAGAAGCAGGGAGAGGGUGGAUGUAAGCGAUGCUGUAUGAGUACUAAAAGAUGUUUGAUGAGUGCGGAGUGUGGCCGAGCUCUCAACAUCGCCAGUGUGGUUGCCAUGUGUGGGAUGUGUAUUCGAAUGUUUGUCUAACAGAUUUCCUGUGGAUUGUUUCAUCCUGAUCUCUCAUCCAGUGGUGGCCUUCUCAAUUUAAGAAACAAAGACAUUUGCUUUGUGCCCAAACCUAGUGAGCUGCCUAUAAGAGUGCAUUCAAGUCCUCUUGGGAAGUUUGUAUUACAAAGUUGGAAAUCGUCUGAAAGAAUGGACCCGUUCACAUACUAGCAAAGGCAGGCCACAUAUAAUGAUGCGAAAUGUAGUUUUGUUGCAAACGCUUGUCUCUGCAUAAACCAUAAAAUCUUAUUUUCCUGCAAGAUUUAAAGUUAUUCUUCAUUAACAGUACAAAAAUGCAUACAAACUAAACUGUAGAGUCAAAAUUCACAAGCAAAACUGAAUUCUUACCAAUAAAAUUUUUCUAAAAUCCAUUAUUCUAAAAUCAACACGCCCCCCAACUCGGAAAUUAGGGGCUCGAAGAAAAUCCUGAGUUCCCCACUCAUAAUCACCACUAUGUGGUGCCGUUCAUGUACGCUUUAACUCUUAAAUACGAUCAUUCCGACUUGACUUGAACGCACCAUAAGGAAACAUUCAUUAUCAACAUUUAUGAGUCUUCCAACACGAAGGCUGUAUUGCCCAUGUAUCUAAGGCAGUAUUUUUUUAAUCACUCACAGAUAAAGAAAUCCAAGAAUGCACUGCAACUGAAAUGUUCAUAAAAAUUGUCAGAGAGCAUUGAGGGAAAUGGUGAUUAUAAAGUAUAUUUAUAUAUAAUAUUUGUAUAAACUUGGCAGAAGUCUACUGACAUAUAUUAUUAGAAUAUAGUUCCAUCUUAUUAAUAAUCCCCCAUUUAACCAAAUAUAUUCACCAGUAUAUUGUUUUACAUGUUAUAAUGCAGCAUUGAGUCGUUAGCUUAGCAACAUGCUAAUCUCAAACUCUAUUGGAAUGAACUGUGAGUGUUAGUUAGAGUCUCUUCAUUGAAGAUCACCAGUUGGGUGGUGCACAUAAGUGGCCAAUGACAGUUGUUGCUUAUGUGGAAUGUUUUAAAUCCCUUAUGAGUUUAGAUUUUGGUUUCGAAUUUUAGAAUGCUGCCUUAGAUGGCAGUUGCAUUCUUAGAGAGUAAACAAUGAAGCAGAUUGCUAGGUUUUUGCACAGAGCAUGUUGUAAUGGCCUUAUUCCAGUUUAAUGAAACUAUUAAUUCAUAUACUCUUUAUUAAUAUUGCAUGAUGACAACAGUAUUAUUAGUUAGAACGUAUACUCACACCAGUAUUUCUAUCUUUAUUUAAAAUGAAUGUUAAAUUGUGAACAUGAUCCAGAAUGUACCAUAAAUGCAUCCAUUUAGAAAUGCUCAUUAGAAGAAAGCGUUUUCAUAAAGUGGAAUCAGUCAUUUGAUUGGAUGUGGCAUUCUGCAGAAAGUGGCUACUUUCUAUUUAUGUUUAUCAUUUAUUUCUUCUACAACUUACUAUUUUAAAGUAAUAUAAUAUUGAAAUAUGUUUAUAGAGAUGUGUUCCUAAAAAUGAAAUGACAUUGAAGAGAAGGACGACAACACAAAGGUAGAAUGCAGUAAAUAUGCCAACACAGAUAGAAAGGACAGAUCAAAGUCUUAGUUCCAAGCAAAACAUGAUUUUAUGAAAAUGUCUACUUACGGCAUUAUUUCUAUUUUAUUUUGCACAGCAGUCUAUAUGUAUUUUAGGAGGUGGGGAAGACAAUAUUUAGUAUAUGUACUGUGUAUCUGGAGCAGUGCUGGGUAGAUUACUUAUGAAUUGUAAUCAUUACCAGAUUACAUUCCUAAAAUUGUAAUCAGUUACAAAUUUCUCAGAUUGCAUUUUUACAAUAAUCUAAUCUGAUUGCUUUUGGAUCAUUUCUGACCUUCAGUAAUUCUUGUUUAUUUAAUGUCACAUGCAUUUGUGUAGGAUAAACUUGUACUGUUUUUACACAAUGUUGCUUAUAUGCAUUAAAGAAAACGUACUUAAU